RNA transcript from Oncorhynchus kisutch (coho salmon), 3729 nucleotides. It is a transcript of the gene named transmembrane protein 65, with no coding region annotated. The record is from RefSeq and is a predicted model, not a curated record. The transcript is spliced from 7 exons. Lineage: Eukaryota; Metazoa; Chordata; Actinopteri; Salmoniformes; Salmonidae.
CAUGUGGAAGUAAUCGAGGAACGCUUCCAGUCGACGACAGUUUAUGACGUUGAGCUCUAUUUUUUGGGUCCAUAUCAAUACUUUCUGAUGAAUUGCACGGACGUUUGCCAUUGCAAAUCACUUAUUUCUCAAGCCAAAAAGAAAGAGGACCCGCUAACGCCACAAUAGUAGCAGGCAUGUCAGAGUCUGGUCACACGCGGUUUUGUGCAAUUAACGUUAGCUAGCUACUGUGUUUUCCUUUCGUGAACUGCUCUGUCUUGCCAGACAUAUUUAGUAACGUUAAUGUAUUAUUGCAGAAAUGUAACAGGAGUCGACUGUAGUUGCUAGCAAACGUUACAUAAUACCAGUCAUACCAAAUAAUUGAAGAGGAGAGAGAGGACUUAAACGUUACAUGUUGGGCAUUAGCUACAAGGUAGCGUUGCAACUUGGCAAUAAUACUUAACGUUACCUAGCUUAGCUUUACUUGCUAGCGUACUAGUGUGGGUUCGCUACUUUGACAGCUCUCAUUACUCUUAACACUUGCAAUAUUAGCUACUAAUGUUACUACAGCGAACACCUUAAAGUUAGUUAGCUCGCUGAAUUAUCUGGUUGGCAGUGCCGUUGAGCAUUCAACGGGUAACGAACCUAGCCAUCUUAUUUUAAGUUAUUUGUACGAACAUAUUUGCCCUAUUUUGCCACAAUGUUCAAGCUUUGUCUUCAGAUCGCUCUACGACCCACCAUCCCAACAAGAGCAGUGCUGGAAAGUGUCACGGUCAGAAAGGUUUUGAAGGUGUCCCACUUGCAAAGUUGUUGGAUGGGAACUCUCGGACGCAACGAGCCGCGGGAACCCCUAAACUCUCCGAAAAGAGCGAAAGAAUUCAUCUACAGCCUUCACCCCAAAGAAAGAAAAUGCUUGCUGAAAGAACUGCAGAGCUUUGAAUCCAUAGCUAUAGCUCAAGAGACUCAAGAGGCUUCACCGCUUACUCGUGCUCAGAUCAAAUACGUGCUUCUACACAAUGCGAUCCCCUUUAUUGGUUUUGGCUUCCUGGACAAUGCCAUCAUGAUUGCAGCAGUAAGUGGGAACCCAGAUUGAGUUGUCUAUAGGUGUCACCUUUGGAUUAUCUACCAUGGCAGCUGCAGCUCUUGGGAACCUAGUGUCAGACCUGGCUGGACUUGGUCUUGCCGGAUACGUGGAGGUCCUAGCCUCCAGGCUAGGGAUGCAGGUUCCUGACCUCACACCCAAGCAGGCGGACAUGUGGCAGACCAGGGUUAGCUCCCACAUGGGAAAAGGCAUUGGAGUCACAAUCGGAUGCAUUCUCGGAAUGUUCCCCCUGUUAUUCCUAGGGGAUGAUGAGGAUGAGAGCAAGAAAAAAGAAGCACACACCAACACCACAGACUCUUAACAGCAUGUGAACCAGCUUUCUGGUCUCAGGGUCAAUUGCAAGCUGCAUCAUCAGCAUGAUUUUAAAUGAAUCUCUAACUCUGGAAAACCUCUCUUCUCUAUUUCAUAAUAUAAUACAUGUAAUUUAUCCAAAGCGAUAUAGUCAUGGGUGCACACAUUUUACUGUUGGGUGGUCCCGGUAAUCGAACCCACUGUGCUGGCGUUGCAAGUGCCAUGCUCUACCAACUGAGCUACCAAAUAACCUUCCAAAAAGGUUAUUUGCAUUUGCAUUUGAUGGCAAGUUAUUUUCAUAGGAUGGAUUUUGUAGAUGAAUUUGCCUAGGAGUUGAAAAUGAGUUUGAGAUGACUUUAAACCAAUGUUUUAAGAUUGUGAAACAAAGGAACACGUGUGAACUGCUACCUCGAUGGCAUUUUAUUUUUUGGGAUUUGAAACGGCAAGAGUUGAACUAGCUUGUGCAAUAUAUCUUUUUUGUUGAGGAAUUUCUGUACAGUAUAUUAUGCAUUGAACUUUAUUGAUUUAGUUUGUCAACAAGGAAAAAGCAAUUACUCUGAUUAUUAGCACUACCAAUCCUGUUUUUCAGACACAUAAUUACAAACAUACCUCUACUACACGCACACUAAAUUGAGUGGGUGUAAUGCCUUGGGUUCCUAGCAUGUCAGGCUUAAGUUGCCUAUCUUUUCUAACUGCUGAUCUAUGUCUCUUAGCUUUCACAUUUAUUUUUAGCAAAGCCAAUUUUCACAGUCCAUACCAUAGAAGUGCCUCACUUUAUUUUCUUCACAUCACUCUAACCAAAUGUAUUUUUAUGACCUUUUUAAAAACCAGCACGUAGGAGAUUUAAUUUUGUGAAGUAUUAAAUUUCAUGUUUGAAAGAACGUCAUUGUUAAUAUGCUUGAUUUGAAAGAAAUUAAGGAAACGAAGUAAGCUGAACAACAGAGUAAAACUGCGCACUCACUGUUUGUUGAAAUGCAAUUACAGCACCUACUAUUCCAUUGCCAUUAUGAUUGACUUUUUGUAGGAUAGUUACUGUUUGUUCACUGAUAGACAACCAUUUGCUUAUGGUGGCCUAAUCAAACUAGUCAUUUAUUGUGUGAAAGGAUCUUCUUUGUGUUUUCUGUCUAUGAAUAUUGGUUUUCGUUUUUCCGUUUGCCUUUUCGUAUUACAGUAAAUGCAGUACUUAAACUGGAAUGCCCCUCACCAUGCUGCUGUAUUUCCUCAUGAACUGUAGAGAAUGUUCAUAAUGACCCUUAUUUAAACUAUUACUGCCAAAUGCAGUUUUUUUUUGGUCACCAAAGUACUUGGCUGUAAAUAAAAAAACUGCAUAUUUCAGCACAACCAGACUGAUAAGAAAACGGGCAUCAAGGUGUAACAUAAAUGCUUUGAUGGGUUUUGUUUUAAAGCAAUGGAAAUGUUUUGUUCUGGGUGACUAGUAUUUCUGCAGUUUGAUCAUGGUCUCACUCCAUCCUUUUCUUCAGCGCUAAUAGAAGCCAUGCACUUGUUCCUCACCACCUCUGCCCUCUGGUGGACGGAGACAUUUUGUAUCUGCCCCGACUCGUUCUCCCUACUGCUUAUCCUCCUGGCGUCCUCUGGUCUUGCUUGUUGCACCACUGUUCUGGGCUUGCUGGAGACUCCUGGUCACAUGUGCCCUUCAGCUGUUUUAGGCUCUACGGCUCCAGAGACCCUUGAUCCACACGCUCUGUCCUCUUCUAUUUGGUGUUCGUCUAACUCCACUCCAUUGUUCUCCUCUAUAGCCUCGGAAAUCCCAGACAUAUGUUUGAACAUGUUAAUGUGGAAGGUAAGCCAUCUUGCAUCUCUAGGAUGUAUUUGGCUCUUGCCAAAACUCCUGCAAUCUUCAUGGGAUCUCCAUCUCUUCUGUCUUUCACCUGAACACUUGUUCUCUAUCCCAAACAUGUACAUCAAGUUUCAAUCAAAGUUUGGUGUUCUGUUCUCCAGUUUGAUUCCUGUGGUAUGGUUCUCUGUGUUAGUCUGUUUUGCCAUCUGUAUCUGAACCUCAUUCCCUGUCAUUGCUUUCCAACUCUUCUCUCCCUUCUUGGCUAUUGGUCCACUAUGAUAGUGGUGUCCUCUCACCAUGAUAUCAAAGCACACCUCGUCUUUCUUUUUUCUCUUUGUCACCAUUAAUGAAAUGAAAGUCUGGCAUGGUAAUAAGAACUAUUCAUUUAAACAAACAUGGACUUAUCUAAUGCUCAUCCCCACUCCCAUGUAAACGACAGGCGCAUAAAAUGUAUCUAUGCUGCCAUGUUUACAUACUUAUGCCAACAAAAAUAGAGAAAAUACUGUUUGAUCGCUCUUGUAUUUUGCAAUGAUUUAAUAAACCGAUUGGAACUAUUUCA